RNAcentral lists this ribosomal RNA (234 nucleotides) under uncultured bacterium. RNAcentral describes it as "partial 16S ribosomal RNA". It matches the Rfam family "Bacterial small subunit ribosomal RNA", at positions 97 to 334 of the family's 1533-position model. The record is from RNAcentral.
GGCGGACGGGUGAGUAAUGUCUGGGAAACUGCCCGAUGGAGGGGGAUAACUACUGGAAACGGUAGCUAAUACCGCAUAACGUCGCAAGACCAAAGAGGGGGACCUUCGGGCCUCUUGCCAUCGGAUGUGCCCAGAUGGGAUUGGCUAGUAGGUGGGGUAACGGCUCACCUAGGCGACGAUCCCUAGCUGGUCUGAGAGGAUGACCAGCCACACUGGAACUGAGACGCGGUCCAG